GUCUAUGGCCAUGCUACCCUAAACAAGCCUGAUCCUGACUGAUCUCGGAAGCUAAACAGGAUUGGGCCCGGUUAGUACUUGGAUGGGAGACCACCUACGAAGACCAGGUGCCAUAGGUA
Ribosomal RNA from Pteropus vampyrus (large flying fox), 119 nucleotides. The record is from Ensembl. NCBI's taxonomy places the organism in Eukaryota, Metazoa, Chordata, Mammalia, Chiroptera, Pteropodidae.